AUGUCUAGUGCGUCAACUAUCGCAUUCAACCGCAAGACAGCGACACUCUACCUCCCCGCGGUGACCCUCGACGGCAACACAGAGGUGGUGCUCCAGAACCUGAUCGCCUUCGAGUCAUCCGCCGCGUCAGGCCCGCUGGUGCUCACCCGGUACACGGAGCUCAUGAACGGCAUCGUUGACACGGACGACGACGUUGCACUGCUCCGCAAGCGGGGCAUCGUGCUCAACCACAUGAAGAAAAGGGACAGCGAAGGGGCCAACCCGUGCAACGGCAUGAGCCGGUCGGUGCAGCACUCCAAGGUGCCGACCAUGGACAAGGUUAUCGAGGACGUGAACCGCUACUACGAUGGUCGGUGGCGCGUCAAGACGAAGCGGUUCAUGCACAAGUACGUGCUCAGCUCAUGGAAGAUUCUCACCUUCCUCGCCGCCAUCAGCAUACUGCUGCUCACCACGUUGCAGGUCUUCAGCUCCAUUUACACAUGCUUCUGA
This 489-nucleotide ribosomal RNA is filed under the name Triticum aestivum (bread wheat). Its description in RNAcentral is "partial small subunit ribosomal RNA". Lineage: Eukaryota; Viridiplantae; Streptophyta; Magnoliopsida; Poales; Poaceae. The record is from RNAcentral.